GAUGAACGUUAGCGGGAGGCUUAAUACAUGCAAGUCGAGCGGUAAGUUUUUAUAGCAAUAUGAAGACCUAGAGCGGCGCACGGGUGAGUAACGCGUACACGACCUGGCCUAAACUGGGGGAUAGCCUUGGGAAACUGAGAGUAAUCCCGCAUGUGAUUAUGUUACUGAUGGUGAUAUAAUUAAAGCUUCGGCGGUUUAGGAUGGGUGUGCGUCUGAUUAGCUAGUUGGUAGUGUAACGGACUACCAAGGCGAUGAUCAGUAGGGGGCGUGAGAGCGUGACCCCCCACACGGGUAC
RNAcentral lists this ribosomal RNA (295 nucleotides) under uncultured bacterium. RNAcentral's name for it is "partial 16S ribosomal RNA". It matches the Rfam family "Bacterial small subunit ribosomal RNA", at positions 28 to 319 of the family's 1533-position model. The record is from RNAcentral.